GACGAACGCUGGCGGCGUGCUUAACACAUGCAAGUCGAACGGAAAGGCCCUGCUUUUGUGGGGUGCUCGAGUGGCGAACGGGUGAGUAACACGUGAGUAACCUGCCCUUGACUUUGGGAUAACUUCAGGAAACUGGGGCUAAUACCGGAUAGGAGCUCCUGCUGCAUGGUGGGGGUUGGAAAGUUUCGGCGGUUGGGGAUGGACUCGCGGCUUAUCAGCUUGUUGGUGGGGUAGUGGCUUACCAAGGCUUUGACGGGUAGCCGGCCUGAGAGGGUGACCGGCCACAUUGGGACUGAGAUGCGGCCCGGACUCCUACGGGAGGCAGCAGUGGGGAAUAGUGCACAAUGGGCGGAAGCCUGAUGCAGCAACGCCGCGUGCGGGAUGACGGCCUUCGGGUUGUAAACCGCUUUCGCCUGUGACGAAGCGUGAGUGACGGUAAUGGGUAAAGAAGCACCGGCUAACUACGUG
This 468-nucleotide ribosomal RNA is filed under the name uncultured bacterium. Its description in RNAcentral is "partial 16S ribosomal RNA". It matches the Rfam family "Bacterial small subunit ribosomal RNA", at positions 28 to 507 of the family's 1533-position model. The record is from RNAcentral.